UGUAAGAAGGUCCCCAAAUCGGGGUUAAAAGAGAAGCAAGUGAGAGACUUGCACGGUCACGCCGCUGUGAAGACGUAGCCACAUCUCAACAAUGUCACUGGGAAACUGGGAAGGCGUAGAUGUGCGUGUUUGAUGUCUAAGUCAGAAGAACUACCUGAAU
Molecule: non-coding RNA, 160 nt
Filed under: Emergencia timonensis
Lineage: Bacteria; Bacillati; Bacillota; Clostridia; Peptostreptococcales; Anaerovoracaceae
Source: RNAcentral